CAGCCCUUGACAUCCCGGUCGCGGUUUCCAGAGAUGGAUACCUUCAGUUCGGCUGGACCGGUGACAGGUGCUGCAUGGCUGUCGUCAGCUCGUGUCGUGAGAUGUUGGGUUAAGUCCCGCAACGAGCGCAACCCUCGCCCUUAGUUGCCAGCAUUAAGUUGGGCACUCUAAGGGGACUGCCGGUGAUAAGCCGAGAGGAAGGUGGGGAUGACGUCAAGUCCUCAUGGCCCUUACGGGCUGGGCUACACACGUGCUACAAUGGUGGUGACAGUGGGCAGCGAGACCGCGAGGUCGAGCUAAUCUCCAAAAGCCAUCUCAGUUCGGAUUGCACUCUGCAACUCGAGUGCAUGAAGUUGGAAUCGCUAGUAAUCGCGGAUCAGCAUGCCGCGGUGAAUACGUUCCC
Molecule: ribosomal RNA, 403 nt
Filed under: uncultured bacterium
Lineage: Bacteria
Description: bacterial SSU rRNA
Rfam family: Bacterial small subunit ribosomal RNA
Source: RNAcentral